UGGGGAAUUUUCCGCAAUGGGCGCAAGCCUGACGGAGCAAUACCGCGUGAGGGAGGAAGGCUUUUGGGUUGUAAACCUCUUUUCUCAGGGAAGAAGCUCUGACGGUACCUGAGGAAUCAGCAUCGGCUAACUCCGUGCCUGCAGCCGCGGUAAUACGGAGGGGGCUAGCGUUGUUCGGAAUUACUGGGCGUAAAGCGCGCGUAGGCGGGCCGGUCAGUUGGGGGUGAAAUCCCGAGGCUUAACCUCGGAACUGCCCUCAAAACUACCAGCCUUGAGUCCGGGAGAGGUGAGUGGAAUUCCUAGUGUAGAGGUGAAAUUCGUAGAUAUUAGGAAGAACACCAGUGGCGAAGGCGGCUCACUGGCCCGGUACUGACGCUGAGGCGCGAAAGCGUGGGGAGCAAACAGGAUUAGAUACCCCCGUAGUCC
Molecule: ribosomal RNA, 426 nt
Filed under: uncultured prokaryote
Description: bacterial SSU rRNA
Rfam family: Bacterial small subunit ribosomal RNA
Source: RNAcentral